Molecule: transfer-messenger RNA, 377 nt
Filed under: Gammaproteobacteria bacterium
Lineage: Bacteria; Pseudomonadati; Pseudomonadota; Gammaproteobacteria
Description: partial transfer-messenger RNA
Rfam family: transfer-messenger RNA
About the family: Bacterial tmRNA, also known as 10Sa RNA or SsrA, is named for its dual tRNA and mRNA-like properties.
Source: RNAcentral
GGGGACGACCUGGCUUCGACGUCGGCUACAAAACCUGAGGUGCAUGUCGAGAAUGUAGAAAAACUCGUUAAAUCUUCUGCAAACAUAUAGUUGCAAACGACGACAACUACGCAAUCGCUGCUUAAUAACCAGUAGAUUGCUGUCUGACUGGAGCCGUGUCUAUGCGUCCAGGUUCCUUCACUUUCGGGUGAUAGAACGAUCAGGCAUCGCUCUCAUAGAAUCGUGAUGGAAGCUCGUUCGGGGCGGAAGCAUUAAAAAAAUACCGAAACCGCUUGCUGUUUUCUUAGUCUGACGGGUAGCAGCUCGCUAAAUUAAAGUUCAGAAUAAACAUGUAGAGCCAAUGGCAGAGGACUGGCGGACGGGGGUUCGACUCCCCC